UGAACUCUCAUUUCAAUAUGCUGAUAAAUCACAUUUUAUUGCUUCAGACAAAGUACUACCAAUAAUAAAUCACUUUGGAAAACAGUGUGUUAAAGGGUGUUAAAUAAUUUGAAUGCAUUUGAAAGAUUUUUAAAAUUCCAAAUAAGCACUUAAAACCAUAAUAGUGACAUGCAGUUUAAAAGUAAAUCAUUUUAAAAGUUACAUCAUUCAGUGUCAAGACCUUCAUUAUCAGCACAUAAACAUUACAUUAUAAUGUAAAAUGUAAUGAAUUGUACACCUUUAAACAUUCAACUGAUGAUUAAGGACCGCAAGAUAUUAUAACAUUACCAUCACCCCUUGUUGCAGUAACACAGUUUGUGGUGUCUUGUGUCGUGGUAGCUAAUGUUGUUGUUGUUGUUUUGCCAGCAGUCAGUGGACUUGUUGUGCUAGCUGGAGAGAAUGUGCUUGACACAACUUCCUCCGAAGAUUCAGAGUCACUUGAUUUAGACUCGUUUGAUUCAGAUUUCUCAUCGGACUGUGAAUCCUCCCUGUCUUCUCUGCUUGAAUCAUUUUCCUCUGAGCUGAAUCUAGAUUGCACAGUGUCUGAUGAAUCAAAUCUUCUGCGCAAAUCAAACUGAGGUGGUUUAGAAAAGACUGAUGCAACAAACACCAUCAGUAGGAUUGCAUGUAAUGUCUUCAUCCUGCAAAAUAAAAGCAUCAAAAGAACCUAAUGUGAAGCUAUUAUUCUCUGGUUAAUUCAAAUAGUGAAUUACCACAGAUUAAAAUUUUAUUUAUAAGCUUGCUUGUAUUCAUCAAUUAUUCAGUUACCACUAAUAAAGAUACAUUUAAAAGUCAUAAACAUAACAUAACAUAAUAUAGCAUAGAGAUGAAUAGUUUACCUUGCACAGAUGUUCUUGUCCAGUUAUUACAAUGUCACAGUCUGUAUUUACUCUGGCAUCCGUUGUACUGUGUCUUAAAUACUGGAUGGAUGUGAGUAAACCGGCUUCGUCCAGUAAAUUCCCAUGACGACAAUGUGACAACAUUUAUGCAACUUCCGGGUCUCUACCAAACCUUGCACAAUGCCU
This is a long non-coding RNA of Cyprinus carpio carpio, 1064 nucleotides long. The record is from Ensembl. NCBI's taxonomy places the organism in Eukaryota, Metazoa, Chordata, Actinopteri, Cypriniformes, Cyprinidae.